GGGGAUGUAGCUCAGUGGUGGAGCACUUGCCUAUCAUGCACGAGACCAUGAGUUCCAUCCCCA
RNAcentral lists this transfer RNA (63 nucleotides) under Fukomys damarensis (Damara mole-rat). It matches the Rfam family "tRNA". From Rfam's summary of the family: Transfer RNA (tRNA) molecules are approximately 80 nucleotides in length. Lineage: Eukaryota; Metazoa; Chordata; Mammalia; Rodentia; Bathyergidae. The record is from Rfam by way of RNAcentral.